AGCGAACGCUGGCGGCAGGCUUAACACAUGCAAGUCGAGCGGGGUGAUGGUGCUUGCACUAUCACUUAGCGGCGGACGGGUGAGUAAUGCUUGGGAAUCUGCCUAUUAGUGGGGGACAACAUCUCGAAAGGGAUGCUAAUACCGCAUACGUCCUACGGGAGAAAGCAGGGGAUCACUUGUGACCUUGCGCUAAUAGAUGAGCCUAAGUCGGAUUAGCUAGUUGGUGGGGUAAAGGCCUACCAAGGCGACGAUCUGUAGCGGGUCUGAGAGGAUGAUCCGCCACACUGGGACUGAGACACGGCCCAGACUCCUACGGGAGGCAGCAGUGGGGAAUAUUGGACAAUGGGGGGAACCCUGAUCCAGCCAUGCCGCGUGUGUGAAGAAGGCCUUAUGGUUGUAAAGCACUUUAAGCGAGGAGGAGGCUCUUUUGGUUAAUACCCAAGAUGAGUGGACGUUACUCGCAGAAUAAGCACCGGCUAACUCUGUGCCAGCCGCCGCGGUAA
RNAcentral lists this ribosomal RNA (503 nucleotides) under uncultured bacterium. Its description in RNAcentral is "partial 16S ribosomal RNA". It matches the Rfam family "Bacterial small subunit ribosomal RNA", at positions 29 to 523 of the family's 1533-position model. The record is from RNAcentral.